RNAcentral lists this ribosomal RNA (596 nucleotides) under uncultured Actinomycetes bacterium. RNAcentral describes it as "bacterial SSU rRNA". It matches the Rfam family "Bacterial small subunit ribosomal RNA", at positions 51 to 647 of the family's 1533-position model. Lineage: Bacteria; Bacillati; Actinomycetota; Actinomycetes. The record is from RNAcentral.
ACACAUGCAAGUGGAGCGACGAACCGGGGCUUGCCCCGGGCCAGAGCCGCGAACGGGUGAGUAACACGUGGGUUACCUGCCCCGAUGACUGGGACAACCCGUCGAAAGACGGGCUAAUACCGGAUGUGCCCCUUGGGGGAAAGGAAGCUUCGGCCUCCGCAUCGGGAUGGGCCCGCGGCGCAUUAGCUUGUUGGUGGGGUAAUGGCUUACCAAGGCGACGAUGCGUAGCUGGUCUGAGAGGACGAUCAGCCACACUGGGACUGAGACACGGCCCAGACUCCUACGGGAGGCAGCAGUGGGGAAUCUUGCACAAUGCGCGAAAGCGUGAUGCAGCAACGCCGCGUGCGGGAAGAAGGCCUUAGGGUUGUAAACCGCUUUCAGUUGGGACGAAGCUUCAGUCGUUAAUAGCGGUUUGGAGUGACGGUACCUUCAGAAGAAGCGCCGGCUAACUACGUGCCAGCAGCCGCGGUAAUACGUAGGGCGCGAGCGUUGUCCGGAAUCAUUGGGCGUAAAGCGCGUGUAGGCGGCUGAGUAAGUCUGCUGUGAAAGUCUAGGGCUCAANCCUGGAAUGUCGGCGGAUACUGCUCAGCUGGAGU